RNAcentral lists this ribosomal RNA (301 nucleotides) under uncultured bacterium. Its description in RNAcentral is "partial 16S ribosomal RNA". It matches the Rfam family "Bacterial small subunit ribosomal RNA", at positions 509 to 807 of the family's 1533-position model. The record is from RNAcentral.
CAGUCGCCACGGUAAUGCGUAGGUGGCAAGCGUUGUCCGGAAUUAUUGGGCGUAAAGGGCUCGCAGGCGGUUUCUUAAGUCUGAUGUGAAAGCCCCCGGCUCAACCGGGGAGGGUCAUUGGAAACUGGGAAACUUGAGUGCAGAAGAGGAGAGUGGAAUUCCACGUGUAGCGGUGAAAUGCGUAGAGAUGUGGAGGAACACCAGUGGCGAAGGCGACUCUCUGGUCUGUAACUGACGCUGAGGAGCGAAAGCGUGGGGAGCGAACAGGAUUAGAUACCCGAGUAGUCCCUGUCUCUUAUAC